Molecule: ribosomal RNA, 564 nt
Filed under: uncultured bacterium
Lineage: Bacteria
Description: bacterial SSU rRNA
Rfam family: Bacterial small subunit ribosomal RNA
Source: RNAcentral
CCUACGGGAGGCAGCAGUGGGGAAUUUUCCGCAAUGGGCGCAAGCCUGACGGAGCAACGCCGCGUGAGGGAUGAAGGCCUUUGGGCUGUAAACCUCUUUUCUCAAGGAAGAACAUCUGACGGUACUUGAGGAAUAAGCCACGGCUAANUUCGUGCCAGCAGCCGCGGUAAUACGGGAGUGGCGAGCGUUAUCCGGAAUUAUUGGGCGUAAAGCGUCCGCAGGCGGCCGUUUAAGUCUGCUGUUAAAUCGUGGAGCUCAACUCCAUCACGGCAAUGGAAACUGUUCGGCUUGAGUAUGGUAGGGGCAGAGGGAAUUUCCGGUGUAGCGGUGAAAUGCGUAGGUAUCGGGAAGAACACCAGUGGCAAAAGCGCUCUGCUGGGCCAUUACUGAUGCUCAUGGACGAAAGCCAGGGGAGCGAAAGGGAUUAGAUACCCCUGUAGUCCUGGCCGUAAACGAUGAACACUAGAUGUUGGGGGAAUCGACCCCUCCAGUGUCGUAGCUAACGCGUUAAGUGUUCCGCCUGGGGAGUACGCACGCAAGUGUGAAACUCAAAGGAAUUGACGG